AGAGGACGUGAAACCGAUACGAUGGAAGCGCACAGAGCCAGUCGCAUUGACAUUAAUUUAUUGGUGUUUCUAAGUGUGAAACAUUUGAUUGCUUUUGUUGCCCGCACUCUAGGUCGCGAAAUUUAUUUUUCGUAGUUGGAGGGCACGAAGACAUAAGUAGUUAAAUUGUAGAUUGGGGAAGGUUAGUUGAUGUAUUGUGGUUUUUUGAUGAUUCACUUGUGUUUGACUCUUAAAAUUAUUUUACUGAUAUUAGCCCAACUAGUCGUUUUUACAUAGCCCUGGUAUGCUGUACGUCCCGUCUUGAAACACGGACCAAGGAGUGUAUUGCUAUGGCGAGUCAUUAAUAUUGUUAAUAUUAAAGGCGUAUUGAAAAAGAUUCUACUUGUGAUGUAGCAAUACAGCAACAAGGACGUGGGCAUGAUAUUUAUAUCCGUCCGCAGUUAGAGCCAUAGUAGUGCGACCCGAAAGAUGGUGAACUAUGCUAGCGCAGGGUGAAGUCAGAGGAAACUCUGAUGGAAGCUCGAAGCGGUCCUGACGUGCAAAUCGGUCGUAUGACGUUAGUAUAGGGGCGAAAGACUAAUCGAACCAUCUAGUAGCUGGUUCCUUCG
This 608-nucleotide ribosomal RNA is filed under the name Rhabditida sp. 3080ed. RNAcentral describes it as "eukaryotic LSU rRNA". It matches the Rfam family "Eukaryotic large subunit ribosomal RNA", at positions 392 to 962 of the family's 3401-position model. The record is from RNAcentral. Lineage: Eukaryota; Metazoa; Nematoda; Chromadorea; Rhabditida.